AAAGGCGGAUUUAUCUGCCGCUCAUGGAUGGGCCUGCGGUGCAUUAGCUAGUUGGUGAGAUAGUAGCUCACCAAGGCGACGAUGCAUAGCCGACCUGAGAGGGUGAUCGGCCACACUGGGACUGAGACACGGCCCAGACUCCUACGGGAGGCAGCAGUAGGGAAUCCUCCGCAAUGGACGCAAGUCUGACGGAGCAACGCCGCGUGAGUGAUGAAGGGUUUCGGCUCGUAAAACUCUGUUGUUAAGGAAGAAUACUUGAGGUAGUAACUGGCCUUGAGAUGACGGUA
This 287-nucleotide ribosomal RNA is filed under the name uncultured bacterium. Its description in RNAcentral is "partial 16S ribosomal RNA". It matches the Rfam family "Bacterial small subunit ribosomal RNA", at positions 202 to 477 of the family's 1533-position model. The record is from RNAcentral.